Molecule: ribosomal RNA, 324 nt
Filed under: Triticum aestivum (bread wheat)
Lineage: Eukaryota; Viridiplantae; Streptophyta; Magnoliopsida; Poales; Poaceae
Description: partial small subunit ribosomal RNA
Source: RNAcentral
AUGGAGGAGGAAGCAGGUGAUGAGACGGAGGAAACAUUUGUAACCGAGAGGAACUGCAGCUCGUACAAUGGUGGUGGCAAAGAGGUAGGCGAUUCGUGCGAACCUGGCGCUAGGAGUAUGGCCCGCGACAUGGCACCGAGGAUGGAGAGGAAGACAGCGUGGUCGUGUCAAGACAAAAGGGUCUUAUUGGACAUGGAGGUGAUGUUCCCGUUCUUCAUAUUAAAACCUCAUUCCAUGAUAUUCGUCAGACAUAAUUUUGCAGCUGUGUUGUGUGAGAUUCAGAACAAGACACCUGUACCAUUGGUUAGAAUGAAUCGGCAGUAG